GUUUAUUUUAUUAAAAAUAAUUAUAAAAUAAAAAGUUUUAGUAUUUUAUUAAGAAAAAAUAAUUUUAAUAAUAGUUUAUUAGUAUUGUGUAAUAAAAUUGAAAUAAAUUGAAAAAUUUUUAUUUAAUAAGAAAAUUUAAUUAAUUGUACCUUGUGUGUCAGGGUUUAUUUAUUAAAAAAUAUUUAUAUUAUUUUUCUCGAUUUUAAAAGAGUUAAUAAAUUAUGAUAGUUAAUGUAAUAAAUUUAUUAUUAAUAAUUUAUUAGAAAUGAAAUGUUAUUCGUUUUUAAAGGUAUCUAGUUUUUUAAGAAAUGAAUUUAAUUCAAUUUUUUUUAUGUAUGUAUUUAAUUUAUUAAAUUAUAUUUAUAAAAAAAAUAAUAUUUUAUGGGAUAAGCUAUAAAAUAAAUGAUUUAAAAAUAAAAUUUAAUUUUAAAAAAUAUAAGCUUAGAAUUAGUUUUUAUUAAUAAAUUUGUUAUAAAUUAUUUUAUACAAAAAAUUAUUUAUUUAAUUUUAAAUUUUUUAUUAAAAUAUUUAUUUUAAUUUCUUUUAUAAAUUAAUAAUGAUAAAAUUAGUAUAUUUAAUAAAUAUAAAAAUUAAUUUUAAUUGAAAAGUUAUUAUAAAGAAUUCGGCAAAAUAAAUAUUUGCCUGUUUAAUAAAAACAUGUCUUUUUGUAAUUAAUUUAAAGUCUAACCUGCCCACUGAAAAAUUUUUAAUGGCUGCAGUAUUCUAACUGUACAAAGGUAGCAUAAUCAUUAGUCUUUUAAUUGAAGGCUUGUAUGAAUGGUUGGACAAAAUAUUAACUGUUUCAUAAUAAUUUAUUAUAGAACUUUAUUUUUUAGUUAAAAAGCUAAAAUUUAUUUAAAAGACGAGAAGACCCUAUAGAUCUUAAUAAAUUUUAUAUAUUAAUUAUAAUUAUUAUUUAAUUAUUAUAUUUAAAUUUAUUUUAUUGGGGUGAUAUUAAAAUUUAAAAAACUUUUAAUUAUAUUUAAACAUUAAUAUAUGAAUAAUUGAUCCGUUAUUAUUGAUUAAAAAAUUAAGUUACCUUAGGGAUAACAGCGUAAUUUUUUUGGAGAGUUCAAAUCGAUAAAAAAUAUUGCGACCUCGAUGUUGAAUUAAGAUAUAAUUUUGGGUGUAGAAGUUCAAAUUUUAAAAUCUGUUCGAUUUUUAAAUUCUUACAUGAUUUGAGUUUAGACCGGCGUAAGCCAGGUCGGUUUCUAUCUUUAAAACAAUAAAAUAUUUUAGUACGAAAGGACCAAAUAUUUAAAAUAUAUUUUUAUUUAAUGAAUUAAAUUAAAAAGGUUAAA
RNAcentral lists this ribosomal RNA (1301 nucleotides) under Chelipoda sp. YD3012. RNAcentral describes it as "16S ribosomal RNA". Lineage: Eukaryota; Metazoa; Arthropoda; Insecta; Diptera; Empididae. The record is from RNAcentral.